UGCAAAGCAACUCCUAUCCCUAUCCUAUCCUCCUCGUGGUACUGGCCGGGGUACGAUCAACCUCAGGGAAGAUUGGGUAAUCAAUCCCGGUGGGAACUUUGGUCGUAUGCUGACAGGGAAGG
This 122-nucleotide ribozyme is filed under the name Aedes aegypti (yellow fever mosquito). RNAcentral's name for it is "drz-agam-1 ribozyme". It matches the Rfam family "drz-agam-1 ribozyme". The record is from Rfam by way of RNAcentral. Lineage: Eukaryota; Metazoa; Arthropoda; Insecta; Diptera; Culicidae.